This 426-nucleotide ribosomal RNA is filed under the name uncultured bacterium. RNAcentral describes it as "partial 16S ribosomal RNA". It matches the Rfam family "Bacterial small subunit ribosomal RNA", at positions 355 to 799 of the family's 1533-position model. The record is from RNAcentral.
UGGGGAAUAUUGGACAAUGGGCGCAAGCCUGAUCCAGCAAUGCCGCGUGAGUGAUGAAGGCCUUAGGGUUGUAAAGCUCUUUCGCACGCGACGAUGAUGACGGUAGCGUGAGAAGAAGCCCCGGCUAACUUCGUGCCAGCAGCCGCGGUAAUACGAAGGGGGCUAGCGUUGUUCGGAAUUACUGGGCGUAAAGGGCGCGUAGGCGGCCUGUUUAGUCAGAAGUGAAAGCCCCGGGCUCACCUGGGAAUAGCUUUUGAUACUGGCAGCUUGAGUUCCGGAGAGGAUGGUGGAAUUCCCAGUGUAGAGGUGAAAUUCGUAGAUAUUGGGAAGAACACCGGUGGCGAAGGCGGGCCAUCUGGACGGACACUGACGCUGAGGCGCGAAAGCGUGGGGAGCAAACAGGAUUAGAUACCCUGGUAGUCCACG